Molecule: long non-coding RNA, 160 nt
Organism: Heteronotia binoei (common prickly gecko)
Lineage: Eukaryota; Metazoa; Chordata; Lepidosauria; Squamata; Gekkonidae
Exons: 2
Source: RefSeq, a predicted model, not a curated record
UCUUUGCUAGAUGUGAGCACAUCACUGUUCCCCAUAGAAAGCUUCUCUUGAGAAUAUGUACAGCAGGAAACAGGUACAGACAGAUGGACAUACAGGUGCUCUUGAAUAGCCUACACACAUAGGAUGACCACAUCUUUUGUUUUCUGGUCGUGGAGAAUGA